CGCUUGCAUCAAGUGCUCUAAUCUUUGCAACAUUAGAGUAGUAAUUAAUAGAUUAGACAUGGUGUUUAGUCUUGCAAUUACCUAGAAUUGCACCCAAUCCUGCGGAUUGUUGUGGUAGCCUUAGGGUAGUGACAGCCCUAACGGUCGACGUAUUCCACCUCGUUCGGAUCGGUGUUUGUAGGACCGUAGUCAGACCUUCCUAGCCCCCUUCUCAUCUCUUUCUGUGGUUAGUGCUCUGAAGUCCCGAAAUAAAUAAUCUUUGAAGUAAUUCUUGAUUCUUAGAUCAACUAGAGAACUCUCAGGAAACUUCCUCUCUUCCCACCAAAAAUAAUUAUAUAGUUAUCCUUGGGCGAUCUUGAAUCUUAAUUAUUGCACUCACGUUCCCUGUGGAAAAUCGAUACUCUGGAAUACUCCCGGGUGAAAGCUACAUCGGUAUCCGUGUGCUUGAGGAUUUUUCUGUUUGCGUUUAAAAUACCCAACAAGCUUUCUGGCGCCGUUGCCGGGGAACGGUAGCUAUGCUAGUUUCGAACCAAGUCGUCCGUGUAUCCUUUUUCUUUUCCUUUUUUUACCACUCACCUUACCAUUUUCACCACACCACAUGGAUUUCACUCCUAUCUACAAAUUCUUUGCUCCAAAGGGCGAGUUAUUAGAGCCACCACCAUCAUCACAUCCAAUUCUUACAGAUGGCUACGACCUCGGCCCUGAUCUAAUAGCCAUGAUUCAGGAGCAGCCCUUCUCUGGGCAAGUAGAUGAAGAUCCAUACACCCACCUUAGUGAAUUUGAGUACUUGUGCUCUUGUCGAUCUAUUUCUGGCAUGACACAAGAAACCCUUAAAUGGAAAUUAUUUCCGUUCUCCCUUCUGGGAAGAGCAAAAAAAAUGGUAUGCUCAUUCUGUAGGGAGUGUUAAUGGAAAUUGGGAUGAACUUCGGGACAACUUUUGUCUCGCUUUCUUCCCACUUUUUCGAAUUGCUGACCUUAGAAUCAAAAUUCUUACAUUCAAACAAAGAGAGAAGGAAACUUUAGGAGCAGCUUGGGCUAGGUUCACAAGCCUUACCAAUUCCGGUCCAAACCUUGCCCUGCCUAACCAUGUACUGUAGUACCACUUUUAUCGUGGUCUAAACAAGGAAGCUGCUCUUCACCUCGACAUUGCUUCAGGAGGCUCAUUCACACACAAACUCACAGAUGAGGGGAGAGCUAUCCUAGAGAGAAUCCUUGAAAAUACCCCUUACACAGGCAUUUAUGAUGAGUUUCCUAAAGAAGAAAAAGAAGUCAAGUCUGAUCCUAAACUAAAAGAUGAGGAACUUGCAACCGAGUUAGAAUUUCCACCUGACCCAUCUAUUAAUUUGGUUAUAGAGAAACCUCCUGAUAAGGGAAUGCAAAACCAACUAAGGGAUGAUGAACCACCACCUUUAGAGCAUCCCUUUGAAUUCGAGGAAGAUCUUUUUGAAGAUUAUGGAAACACCUUGAAUUUUCCUAUCCAAACACGACCUCUAGCAAGGACCACUCAAUCCGUUCUAAGAGUAGAACCUGUUGACAUAGAACACAUCAAAAGCCUUUCGGCUAUUCUGAGUUAUGAAUGGCUAACAGAAGCAGAGCUGUCUCCUGAGGUAGCUCGAAUCAUCACUCCUUCAACCAUUCUUCUAUGCCAAAUUAGAAGGUCCGCUAGGAAGGUCCACUACAAUCCAUAUGUUGGGAUAAAUAUUAUUUCCAAGGAGUUAGCUAACACUCUUUAUCCCAACGAGUCCAUAACCCCAUCUCAAAAACUUUUACAAAGUCCAUCUAGAUUAAUUCUAGAGAGCCAUGGGGUAUUAAGGGCAGUUCCUAUUAGAAUCAAGGACUUUGGAAUAUGUCUAGAUUUUCACAUUUAUGACAUACCGGAGAUUCCUCUCUUGAUUGGUAGACCAAUCAUGAAACUUCUACAAGAACAACCACAACGAGGUCAUUUAGACUUCAAAGUUGGGAAUUCCACUAUUGUUGUUCCUCUAGCUAGAUCAAUUAACACGAUAGUGGAACCCAAACUUGACCCAGAUCCUAUUGAGGAGAUCUUAAUGGUGACUCAAGAGGAGAUGACCCAACCAUUCUUUAAUCAUGAACACUUUGUUCAAGAAGAAGAAGAGUUGGUAGAACCCGUUGAGAUAGACAAAAAUGAACUACCUUCACCUCCUUCGAUAGAAUUAAAACCUCUUCCUUCUGGCCUUAGAUAUGUCUUUUUGCACAACAACUCAAAAACUCCAGUAAUUAUUAGUGACAAGCUUUCCGAUUAUGAAACACAACAACUUGUCACUGUUCUUGAAAGGCAUAGAUCAGCAUUUGGCUACUCUCUCGAAGAUCUCACAGGCAUUAGUCCCAUUCUCUGCACUCAUCGUAUCCCUAUUGAUCCCAAUUUUACACCUUCAAGGGAACCACAACGGAGACUUAACAAUGCUAUGCGAGAGGUUGUUAAGAAAGAGGUCCUCAAACUCUAUCGUGCUGGGAUUAUUUAUCCCGUGCCACAUAGUGAGUGGGUUAGCCCUAUCCAAGUAGUGCCAAAGAAAGGAGGACUGACGGUCGUUAGGAAUGAUAAGAAUGAACUCAUCCCUCAACGAAUUGUCACUGGGUGGUGUAUGUGUAUUGACUAUCGAAAACUCAAUAAGGCUACAAAGAAAGAUCACUUUCCGUUACCCUUCAUUGAUGAAAUGUUGGAACGGCUUGCAAACCACUCUUUCUUUUGUUUCCUUGAUGGUUAUUCUGGAUAUCACCAAAUCCCAAUCCACCCAGAUGACUAAGAAAAGACUACCUUUACAUGCCCGUAUGGAACUUAUGCAUACCGACGAAUGUCGUUCGGAUUGUGCAAUGCUCCAGCUUCUUUCCAACAGUGCAUGAUGUCUAUUUUCUCGGACAUGAUUGAGAAGAUCAUGGAGGUUUUCAUGGAUGAUUUUACUGUCUAUGGUAAAACCUUCGAUCAUUGUUUGGAGAAUUUAGAUAGAGUCUUGCAGCGAUGUGAAGAAAAACACUUAAUCCUAAACUGGGAGAAAUGCCAUUUUAUUGUUCAGGAAGGAAUAGUGCUAGGACAUAAAGUGUCCGAACGUGGUAUAGAGGUGGACAAAGCAAAGAUUGAAGUUAUUGAAAAACUUCCACCUCCCACAAAUGUGAAAGGAAUCCGUAGCUUUUUGGGACAUACAGGGUUCUAUAGACGCUUUAUCAAGAACUUCUCUCAAAUUGCUAGACCCCUAACUAAUCUCCUAGCUAAGGAUGCACCUUUCAUCUUUAGUGAUGAGUGUCAUGAAUCUUUUCAAACUCUUAAGAAAGCACUCAUCUCAGCCCCGAUUAUCCAACCACCUAAUUGGAAUCUUCCUUUUGAGAUCAUGUGUGAUGCUAGCGAUUUUGCGGUAGGUGCCGUUUUAGGACAAACCAAGGAUAAGAAGCAUUAUGCCAUAUCCUAAGCUAGCAAAACCUUGUCCGGACCGCAGCUCAAUUACACUACAACUGAAAAAGAGCUUUUAGCUGUUGUCUUUGCUAUAGACAAGUUUAGAUCUUACUUAGUGGGGGCAAAGAUAAUCAUCUAUUCAGACCAUGCUGCUCUCAAGUACCUCCUCACUAAGAAAGAUGCUAAGCCUCGUCUAAUUCGAUAGAUUCUUCUACUCCAAGACUUUGACAUAGAAAUCCGAGAUAGGAAGGGAGUAGAGAAUUCCAUAGCCGACCACUUGUCUAGGCUUCAAUAUAAGGAAACACAUGAUGAGCUUCCCAUAAAUGACUACCUAAGGGAUGACACCCUACUUAAGAUAACACAUGCAGAUCCAUGGUACGCAGACAUCGUAAACAUUAUAGUAAAAGGCUAUGUCCCACCUGGUGCAAACAAAAGGAAGUUGCUUCACGAUAGUCGUUUCCACCUUUGGGAUGAGCCAUAUCUUUUCCGAGUCUGCGCUGAUGGACUCUUGAGAAGGUGUGUUCCUAUGGCUGAGGCUACUCAAAUUAUGGAAAGAUGCCAUGCCUCGCCAUAUGGAGGGCACUAUGGAGCAUUCCGAACACAUGCUAAAAUUUGGCAAAGUGGCUUUUUCUGGCCAACGAUGUAUGAAGAUACAAAGGUCUUUGUCAGGAGAUGCCACCGAUGUCAAAAACAUGGGAAUAUCAACUCACGAAAUGAAAUGCCUCUCACAAAUAAUCUUCAAGUAGAACUUUUCGAUGUAUGGGGCAUUGAUUUCAUGGGGCCAUUCCCUAUGUCCGGGAAUUGCGAGUAUAUCUUAGUAGCUGUGGACUACGUGUCCAAAUGGGUAGAAGCCCUACCUUGUCGAUCAACUGAUUCAAAACAUGCCAAGAGAAUGUUCCAUGAAGUAAUCUUUCCUCGCUUUGGUAUACCCCGGAUAGUUAUAAGCGAUGGAGGUUCCCACUUCAUCGACAAAAUCUUCCGGAAGUACCUAGCCGAUCAUGGAGUUCGACACAACGUCGCAACACCAUACCAUCCUCAGACUAGCGGUCAAGCCGAAACAUCUAACAAACAAAUCAAAAAUAUUUUACAAAAGACCGUAGAUGAGAUGGGUAAGGGGUGGAAGGACAAACUUCCUGAUGCACUUUGGGCAUAUAGAACUGCAUUCAAAACACCCAUAGGCAUGUCACCUUAUCAACUUGUAUAUGGAAAAACUUGUCAUUUGCCUGUGGAAGUAGAGUUUAAGGCUCAUUGGGCACUCAAGAAAUGGAACAUGGAUCUCCACCUCGCUAGCGAGAAUCGUCUGAUGCAAAUAUCUGAGCUAGAAGAAUGGAGAGAGAAAGCCUACCACAAUUCAAGGAUCUAUAAAGAGAGAACAAAACGAUGGCAUGAUAAGAGAAUCAAGCACAAGGAGUUUAAGCCUGGAGAUAAGGUUCUACUAUUAAAUUCAAGAGUUAAGCUCUUUGGACAUGGUAAGCUACGAAGUAAGUGGGAUGGACCAUACAAGGUUAUUGACACUUCAACUCAUGGAGCCAUUACCAUCCAGGACGACAUAGGUAACACUUUUAAGGUAAAUGGUCAACGCUUGAAAAUCUAUCUCGAGCCACAAAACAACCUGGUAGAGGAACUUGAUGUGAUUGAGUUCAUAGAAUUCUCAUAUUAAGCUCUCAUAAGCUCUAGAUAAUUACCUAAACCUUAACAUGCUCCACGAGUUUUGUUGUCUAUUUGGGUUGUAUAGGAUUUUGAGGCUUAAGAAGAGUGAGACCAACCAUGCAGACCACAAGAGUGAACGACUAUGUCAACAUCCAGCUUGGGGGAGGCAUCCCCACGUGUAUCUAGAUAAGUAUUACUUUUCUUUCUUAGUUUUAUUUACUAGUAUUCGGAAAUAAAUAAAUAAACAAAAAUGCAUAACCAUGAAACCAAACAAAGUUUUUCUUUUGAGUAAUAUACAAUAGUUUUGUGUAAUCCUAAGUUUUAAAUAAAAAUAAAAAGAAAGUUUGAUCCAAGUCUAGGUAAUUGACAACAUGAUAUGAGAAGGUCUGAGCUACUAUUUAACUUGUUCCAAGUUUUGCUAGAGUUCUGCAGAUUUUAUCUUUUGAAAAUCUAAAAAUUCAAAGAAAAAAAUGAUGAGAUCCUGUUUGACAUAUUACCUAGAGUCUUAUAAGAUAUGAAUAUUAAAACUAUGGGCACUUGCUUUGUUCAAGCCAUUGUUAAUUCUUGUAGUUUUGGUUGAGAGAAUUAUCAUGCUCCAAAGAUCAAGGUCUUUUGUUUUAAAAAUAUAAAAGAUACACUCUUCCGAAGUAUUAUUGCGUUAGAGGCAUGGGACUAUGCAAAAAUUUGAUUCAAAAAGAGUGAGACGAGAGGUAAAAAUGGGCAUGUGUCCGAAGUAGAAUUAGGGGUGCAAAGAUACCCACCUGAGUGAAAAAAAAUGGACACGUGUCCGAUAGUAGAAUUAGGGGUACUUGGUGCCCACUUGAAAAAAAAGAAAGAAAAAAAAAGAGAGACUGAAAAAAAGAAAGAAAGAAAGAAAAUGAUACCCAUGGUCCCUCUAAUAAGCAAUAUGCCAGUAAGAGAUGACAAACUUUUCAAAAAGGUCAAAAGUUUUGAUCUAGGAGUAUGACAUUCCUCUCCCUUGCUCCUAGCAUUGACAUAGCAAAAUGCAAAGUAUGCUAAGACUUUUAAAGCUCUACUUAUAUAUCUUUUGAGAAGAAGGCAAAUACCUCAGUUUUAUUUUGGAAACAUACAAACAACUCCAGAACAAAGGUAAGACAGAAGAACUUGAGACAUAGUGCUUGACUUGAUCGUUCUAUUUUUCAAUCACUUAAGACUUUAGUGAUAACUUAAAACCCUAUAGUAAAAGGCAUUAAAGUAACCCCUGUUUUCUUGCUGAUUUUAGCUUUGCUCAGGGACGAGCAAAGGUUAAGCUUGGGGGAGCUUGUUGAUGGUCCUUAAUGCUCACAUUUAACCGUCAACUAAUCAUGGAAAAGGAUCCAAAUGUAACUAACAUCCAAAAUUAGGGUUUUAUCUGACAGAAUUUCACGAGUUUUGGUGUUUGUCUAUUUCUGUAGGGGGUUAUCAGGAAAUAUGGAAGAAAGGCCCACAUGUCGGGAUUACAUAGAGAUAUUAACGUGCCGCGCAAUUUUCUACCAUCUAGAAGACUCCAGAAGCCACGGGAACGAACGGGAAGGCGAUCGGGCUCAGAGACAGGGCGCCCGCCUGACUCUCCUAGGCGCCCGCCCUGCUACAGUGCCCAAUCAGGGUCAACUUCGCGGAUCGUGCUCCACCGACUCUUAGGAUCGAGGAAAAUCACGCGAUUAAGGUCGGUUUGAUCGGAUGGUGGAGAAUAACGUGGAAAUUCCUUGGGAGCUACUCUUCCUAGAUUUCUUGGGAGCUACUCUUCCUAGAUUUCUUGGGGGCUACUCUUCCUGGACUAUAUAAGCAGACCCCCACCAGCCCCUGGAUGCAUACCUCUUCUACAGAAUCAAAGUUAGGGUUUCAAUUCUUCAUCUAAGUAGAGAGGAUCCCUCUAGUUCUUCUAGUUCUACCUCUAGUUUAUCUAGAUCUAGUUCUAGUUCAUCUAGUUUUAGUUCUAGUUCCUCUAGUUCUAGUUCUAGUUAGUUCUAGUUGUAAUCUAGAAAAUAGGGAGAGAGAAGAGGAGAGCGGAGGAGGAGCCGGAUCUGUUGGAUCUUCCUCAACAAUGUACUUUUGCAGCAACUGGUUCGUUCUUCAUCGUUCUCCAGGUUCUUCAAUUCAUAAUCCUGAGUUCUUUAAUUACUUUUAUUUACAUUCAAGUUAUUUAUUGGAUUUCCGCUUGCAUCAAGUGCUCUAAUCUUUGCAACAUUAGAGUAGUAAUUAAUAGAUUAGACAUGGUGUUUAGUCUUGCAAUUACCUAGAAUUGCACCCAAUCUUGCGGAUUGUUGUGGUAGCCUUAGGGUAGUGACAGCCCUAACGGUGGACGUAUUCCACCUCGUUCGGAUCGGUGUUUGUAGGACCGUAGUCAGACCUUCCUAGCCCCCUUCUCAUCUCUUUCUGUGGUUAGUGCUCUGAUGUCCCAAAAUAAAUAAUCUUUGAAGUAAUUCUUGAUUCUUAGAUCAACUAGAGAACUCUCAGGAAACUUUCUCUCUUCCCACCAAAAAUAAUUAUAUAGUUAUCCUUGGGCGAUCUUGAAUCUUAAUUAGUACACUCACGUUCCCUGUGGAAAAUCGAUACUCUGGAAUACUCCCGGGUGAAAGCUACAUCGGUAUCCGUGCGCUUGCGGAUUUUUCUGUUUGCGUUUAAAAUACCCAACAGUGGCGUAAAAAUAAAAUAAAUAUAUUCUUGUUCAUUAAAAAUGAAAAUAUAAAAAUAAAUUUAUGAUCCUACUAAAGAGAGUAAUAUUUAUUAGAGGAAGCUCAACAUGAUAAAGGCUAAGAGAUUUUAUGCUAACACUUAACCAGAUCCACAAAGCUUUGUUGUCUAUUUGAGCUCCACAGAAUUCAAGAAUCAAGUAAGACUAGCAGACAGAGGAUAUCCUAAUCGCUAUCAGGGUGCUGCCAACAUUCAAAUACACUUACGCCACCUGCUAGCUACAUCAGAAGAAAUUACGUUAAAAUCCAGCUCGGGGGAGAGCACCCCCAUUUAUCCAGCUAAGUGUUUCUACUCACAUUUAUACUUUACUCAAAUAAUAAAAAAAUGCAUAAUCAUAAAAACCCAAUUAAACAUUUUGUGCUUAUAUAUAUCUUUGCUUAGUUUGCUAAAUAAAUAAAUAAAGUGUCUAUGCCAAACUCAACUUCAAUGAUAAACUCUUACAUGGAUAUGAUGAAUAGUUGCUCUGCCAAGUACCUAGUUUUCAAAUUUGAGCUCUCUCUCAAGUUUAGGCAUAACUGUUAUAAUUUAAAGCUUGCUCUAAACCUGAAUUUGCGGGAAGAGUACCUGAUCAAAAGUCUAAGUUGUUAACAGAUAUGAUAUGGGAAGGUUGAGCUGCUGUUUAUCUGUUCCUAGAGAUGCUAGAAUUCUGGAGAAUUUUAUCUUUAAAAAUCUUUAAAAUGCUGGAUGAUGAGUUCUUGUAUUAUGAGAGUUUAAAAUUCUACCACAGCCAUAUAUACAAGAUUAUUAGACUAUGAACCAUACAUUUACUUUUUAAUGCUUAUGAGCAUUGAGUGUGGUCAAGCUGUGUAGACCCUUAGGAGCUUGUCAUGCGGUUAAAAUCAAGAUUCACUUGCACGUUCACUCAUACAUGUUGCUUCUACUCUAGAAGUACGCAUCCACAUACAUCCACUCAUUUCCAUAUCCAGAUUCACACAAAAUUAUUCUACUCCUAUCUAGGAGAGAAUAGCCAAAAACAUUAUCCUAUCCCUGUUAUUCCCCGUGAAAUAAAUGCUCGAGAUAUUUUGGUUACUACAACUUGCUACAUUAUUCCAGGAGGGUGAGUGCUCUAAAAAAAGUGAAUACGAGGAAAUAAAAAAGGGGCAAGUGCCCGAAACCUCAAAGAAAAGAAGAAAAAAAAAGAAAAAGCGAGACGAGAGGUAAAAAUGAACAAGUGUCUGACAAUAGAAUUAGGGGUACAAGAUACCCACCUGAGAGAAAAGAAAAAUAAAAUAUAGAGCAUCUCAUUCCCCUCAAAAGCCUCAAGUGCAAGAAAGGUAUGUACCCCCUCAAAAGAGCAAAAGUAGAAUUAGAUUUUCACCAUUAUUUUCACCAUUAUCGUCAUUCAUUCGCCACACAUGCAUAUCUUAAUUUGACUUAUUAACUUGUUCUUCUGGAUCCAUGGUUUGACUAUGCAAUAAGUGUCUUGUAAGUAUGUAUUAGCUGUCUCCCACCUAUGAGCUCCAGAUAUCAAAACCUUAUUAGAGUAGGGUGAUAGAGAAGGCAAUACCACUAUGCCUCAUACCAAAAAUACCACAUACUUUGAGAGAAGGCAUACACCAUUACUGCCUUGGUAAGGAUCUAGAAAUACCACAAAAGAGAGACUAGAGAGAGUCAUACAAGGAAUCUCUGAGUUUUAUUUGAAAAUCUACAAAAACUCCAGAGCUAUAGUUAAUCGAAGAACAAGAGACAUGGCACUUGACUAGACCGUUCUAUCUUUUAACUGCUCAAGACAUAAGUGACGGUUGCAAGCCCCAUGGUGGAAGGUAAAAUGAGUAAGUUUAAAUCUUAACAGUUUACCUUAACCCAGAGAUGAGAUCUUGUUUGAACGCAUGUGUACCUUUAAGGCAUGAAACCACUGCAGAAACUCUUGAGUCCGUCUUUGCUUAGGGACGAGCAAAGGUUAAGCUUUGGGGAGCUUGUUGACGGUCCUUAAUGCUCACAUUUAACCGUCAACUAAUCAUGAAAAAGGAUCCAAAUGCAACCGACACUUAGACUUAGGGUUUUAUCUGACAGAUUUCCACGAGUUUUGGUGUUUGUCUAUUUCUACAGGGGGUUAUUAGGAAAUACGAAUGAAAGGCCCACACGUCGGGUUUACAUAGAGAAUUAAUGUGUGCGGUAAUUUUCCAUAAUCAGGAAGACUCUAGAAGCAACUCGACCGAAGCAGAGCCGAGACGGGCCUAGGGCUGGGGCGCCCGCCCUGGUACAAGCACCAAUCACAGAAUGGAGUACACCAUUACAAAGAUCUCGUCGAGCUGAUCGAAAUUCAUAUAUUAUUUGCUAUAUUUGGAGUUCGGAAUCAAGAGAUAUUAAUAAAAGAAGGACUCCACAUAAAAGAGCUGCGGGAUUAAUUGGGCCCAAAUCAGAUUUUGGUCCAUUAAGGCCUAUGUGCAUUUUAAUGAGAUAUGGUGGAAAGUUUAGUACCACAUCGCCUGCUGAACCAAAAAGGCACAAAGGAGGAGGCUAUAUAAGCAAGGCCCCUGGCUCCUGGAGGAGAACACAUCAUUAUAGAGUUGAAAGGUGCCCUCGAAGGAUAACCUUUCCUCUAUAGAGAAUUAGGGCUAGACAUUCCAAUGUAGUAGAUUAGUUCUAG
Molecule: long non-coding RNA, 10340 nt
Filed under: Sorghum bicolor (sorghum)
Lineage: Eukaryota; Viridiplantae; Streptophyta; Magnoliopsida; Poales; Poaceae
Description: long non-coding RNA (SBIC_LNC002430)
Source: RNAcentral